RNAcentral lists this transfer RNA (84 nucleotides) under Canis lupus familiaris (dog). It matches the Rfam family "tRNA". Rfam says of the family: Transfer RNA (tRNA) molecules are approximately 80 nucleotides in length. Their secondary structure includes four short double-helical elements and three loops (D, anti-codon, and T loops). The record is from Rfam by way of RNAcentral. Lineage: Eukaryota; Metazoa; Chordata; Mammalia; Carnivora; Canidae. RNAcentral also lists the same sequence under 1 other name.
GCCUGGGUGGCUCAGUCGGUUAAGCAUCUGUCUUUGGCUCAGGUCAUGACCUCAGUGUCCUGGGAUCAAAUCCCACCUCAGGCU